RNAcentral lists this ribosomal RNA (454 nucleotides) under Lysinibacillus xylanilyticus. RNAcentral's name for it is "bacterial SSU rRNA". It matches the Rfam family "Bacterial small subunit ribosomal RNA", at positions 1 to 443 of the family's 1533-position model. The record is from RNAcentral. Lineage: Bacteria; Bacillati; Bacillota; Bacilli; Caryophanales; Bacillaceae.
UUUAUGGAGAGUUUGAUCCUGGCUCAGGACGAACGCUGGCGGCGUGCCUAAUACAUGCAAGUCGAGCGAACAGAAAAGGAGCUUGCUCCUUUGACGUUAGCGGCGGACGGGUGAGUAACACGUGGGCAACCUACCUUAUAGUUUGGGAUAACUCCGGGAAACCGGGGCUAAUACCGAAUAAUCUAUUUCACUUCAUGGUGAAAUACUGAAAGACGGUUUCGGCUGUCGCUAUAAGAUGGGCCCGCGGCGCAUUAGCUAGUUGGUGAGGUAACGGCUCACCAAGGCGACGAUGCGUAGCCGACCUGAGAGGGUGAUCGGCCACACUGGGACUGAGACACGGCCCAGACUCCUACGGGAGGCAGCAGUAGGGAAUCUUCCACAAUGGGCGAAAGCCUGAUGGAGCAACGCCGCGUGAGUGAAGAAGGUUUUCGGAUCGUAAAACUCUGUUGUAAGG